UAGGUCGAAAGAGGCAGUUUUACACAAAAGAAGGCUAAAACGCAAGAAUUGAGAGAAAUCCUAAUUAAAGGAGGAUUCCUAGUUAAAGAAGGCUAAAUUUCUUGUUGGCUAAAACAUUUUCAACAUCACUUCUUCCACCAAAAAUUCAGAAACGUUUGGUCUCUUCUAUUCUCUAAUACGUUUGCCCUUUGUACGCAACGUUUUACUUUCUUACUAAGUUGCUACGUAAUUAAUAUAGGCAAAAGUAUUGGUUCUGUUUCUGCCAACAAUAGUGGCUAGCCCCAAGUACUUUUUGUGUUUGUCAACAAACCCACACCAAGCACCUCAGCUAAAAAUUGACAACCUUGCUAAAGACAAUAUUGCUCUUAUUGAAAUUAACUUGUUGACUAGAAGUUGUUCCAUAUUCAGAUAACACAGAUUGAAUAACAACAUACUUUGAAAUUGAAGCCUUACCAAAUAGUAAGCUAUGAUCAACAAACAAGAGAAGACUAAUAAUUGGAGCACCCUCACAAAUUUUACUCCUUGAACCAAACCAUCAUCAACUUUUUGGUCCAUUUCGAAGCACAGAAAACACCUCCGUACACAAUAAGAAUAGAUAGGGUGCAAGAGGAUCACCUUGCCGAAGGUCUUAGAUGGAAUCAGUGAACCACAAGGCUUACCAGUUUUCAGAAAAGAAUAACGGACAAUGCUCACACAUUGCAUGAUGGUCCGAACCCACCUCGUAUCAAACCCGAGUCCCAACAACACUGCUUCAAGAAAAAUCCACUCCAUACGAUCAUACACCUUACUCAUAUCAAGUUUCAAUGACAUUACACCAUCUAAACCAUCAGAGUAUAUUGAGAAACAUCAUUAGCAAUGAGCGAAUUGUUUGUAUUCAAUAUGCCCGGAAUGAAUCCACUCUAACAAGGACUGAUAAUAUCUGACAAAAAUCUCUUCAAACGGUUAGCUAUAACCUUCGAACAAAUUAUAUAGAAAACAAACUUUAGUGGGAUACAUUUGGAAUAGAGAUAUUGUAAUUAGUAAACUACAGUUUAGUUUUUAAUCAAAUUUCAACUUACAAAUACAUCCUUUACACAAUAGUUUACACAUUUAAGGACAAAUAUUAACAAAUUAGGACAAACUAAUAUCAUCAUGCCAUCUGUUAUUACCUAUUUUACCCAAAUACCCUUCUUCCCCAUCCAUAAAAAUAGCCGAAAAAAUCAAAAAUCUCAGUUCCCAAACCUAACGUGAUCGACCAUCUCUCUUGUUUUCUCUCUUCUCUGUGACGAACAGUGUCGCCGGAGACAUUCGCCGGAGGAAUUUCGUCGUUUUGCUCACCGGAAAGCUCAGGAGAGAGUCGGAUCAAGCGUUGAUCAGUUGUGGAAUUCAAUCGUUUUGUCCAAUCAUCUCUCUUCGUCACCAUCAGUUCUCUUCUGGUUCGUAGAAGCGAUCUAUUCUUCUCUGAGAUAAUCAAAUUUUCAGGUUAGAUUCUGGCUUAUUCGUGUCCUUUUAUGCUUUAAUUUCAUGUUUGAUCGCAAUUUGAUACUUGUGUUUUGUUUUGAUCAUCUAGUUUAUAUGAUCUCUUGUGGAAUUCGUCUAGUUAUUGUUUAAUUUUGGUUCGUUUUGAAUUUUGAACUACUUUUUGGUUGAAAAUCAUAAUCGUAGCAUAGCAGUAGCAGGUUUCUAAUUAUAGGUUAGAACAGUAGCAUAGUAGCAGAGGAAGUAUCAGUAGUUUGUUUUUGUAGUUUUUGACUAUAAAGAACUAGUGGCAUAGUAGCAUAGUAGUAGCAUAGAACUAAUAGCAUAGUAGCAUACUGAAAAGAACUAGUUUAGGCUGAAUUCAUAAUAGAGCAGUAGCAUAACAGAUUUUGCGCUUAUUUAUGUACUAACACAGUAGCAUAACAGUAGCAUACUAGAAAAGAUUAGAACAGUAGCAUAACAGUAGCAUAAUCGUAGCAUAGCAGUAGCAGGUUUCUUAUUAUAGGUUAAAACAGUAGCAUAGUAGCAGAGGAAGUAUCAGUAGUUUGUUUUUGUAGUUUUUGACUAUAAAGAACUAGUGGCAUAGUAGCAUAGUAGUAGCAUAGAACUAAUAGCAUAGUAGCAUAUUGAAAAGAACUAGUUUAGGUUGAAUUCAUAAUAGAGCAGUAGCAUAACAGAUUUUGCGCUUAUGUAUGUACUAACACAGUAGCACAACAGUAGCAUACCAGAUAUGUUUAUUAACACAGUAGCAGAUAUGUUUAUUAACAGUUUUAUAACAGAUAUGUUUCAAUUUUUAUAUUAUGGAUAAAUUGUAGCAUAACAGUAGCAGGUUUUGUGCUUAUGUUAUGUAUUAACACAGUAGCAGAUACAAUAUAUUGGUAGCUUUAUUAACAGAUUUUCU
Molecule: long non-coding RNA, 2359 nt
Filed under: Fragaria vesca (wild strawberry)
Lineage: Eukaryota; Viridiplantae; Streptophyta; Magnoliopsida; Rosales; Rosaceae
Description: long non-coding RNA (FVES_LNC002962)
Source: RNAcentral